UAUAUAUAUAUAUAUAUAUAUAGAGCUUAAAUGAAGAAGAGGAAGAAGAAUAAAUAAGAAUGAAGAAGAAGGGUGGCAAUGAAAAACAAGAUAAUGGAUGCUGUCGUUACGCGCAAGAACGAGAUUUCUUUAUCAUUCCGAAGAGAUAGAC
Long non-coding RNA from Apis dorsata (giant honeybee), 151 nucleotides. RefSeq lists it as uncharacterized. The transcript is spliced from 3 exons. The record is from RefSeq and is a predicted model, not a curated record. Lineage: Eukaryota; Metazoa; Arthropoda; Insecta; Hymenoptera; Apidae.